This 413-nucleotide ribosomal RNA is filed under the name uncultured bacterium. RNAcentral describes it as "bacterial SSU rRNA". It matches the Rfam family "Bacterial small subunit ribosomal RNA", at positions 38 to 473 of the family's 1533-position model. The record is from RNAcentral.
GGCGGCAUGCUUAACACAUGCAAGUCGCACGGGCAGCAAUGUCAGUGGCGGACGGGUGAGUAACGCGUAGGUAUCUAUCCUUGGGUGGGGGACAACUGUGGGAAACUACAGCUAAUACCGCAUGAUAACUGAGGUUUAAAGGCGCAAGUCGCCUGGGGAGGAGCCUGCGUACGAUUAGCUUGUUGGUGGGGUAAAGGCCUACCAAGGCGACGAUCGUUAGCUGGUCUGAGAGGAUGAUCAGCCACACUGGGACUGAGACACGGCCCAGACACCUACGGGUGGCAGCAGUCGAGAAUUUUUCUCAAUGGGGGAAACCCUGAAGGAGCGACGCCGCGUGGAGGAUGAAGGUCUUCGGAUUGUAAACUCCUGUCAUUGGGGAACAAGGUGCAUACGUUAACUGCGUGUGCAUUGAU